This is a long non-coding RNA of Erigeron canadensis, 671 nucleotides long. RefSeq lists it as uncharacterized. The transcript is spliced from 3 exons. NCBI's taxonomy places the organism in Eukaryota, Viridiplantae, Streptophyta, Magnoliopsida, Asterales, Asteraceae. The record is from RefSeq and is a predicted model, not a curated record.
CGUAUGUUACUAAUACUGUAGGUUACGAAGGGACUAUUGAGAGGGCUUAUUGUAGUUGCUGAUUACUGGUCAUGUGACUAUUGAGAGAGAUUAUUUGAAUGUUAUCCAAAAGACAACACAGGAUAUCCAUGUAUGUUGAUGAUGAUGAUGAUGAGGGUAGGAGCCGGUCUCUUGUCAAGUAAAAGGUGGUCGCUAAUUAUGAUUGUACAAUUGCAUCAUGUUUAUUAAUGGGCUGUGAGUAGAUAACCAAAAGAUUACCUUAUCAUCCGUGUAACAAGAAAUACGCAAAAGUUAGAACAUGGACGUGUUAUCAAGUGAAACUCUAUGCACCGAUCAAAAGUGGUAUGCUAUCACCAGAGGUGGUCAUUAUAAGAAAUCUUGAUCCUGAAGCUGUAGUCAGUGGUAGGGAUGCUUUGAGUAAGAUAUUCUACUCUCGCUUUUUUGACUGCUGAGUACAAUUCUAAAGCUUCAAGUCUGAAAACAAGAUUGAAGUGUAUGAGCUUUUCAAGGACAUGUGCAAGUGGUUAGGGUCAUUAGAAAUUGGAUGCUCUAGCACUAUUGUUGUAAGUAUUCAUUGUUUGAGAACAAGUCUGUAUGUUUAACCUUUUAAUCUAAUUGCUUCACUGAAGACCUACAAUGUAUGUAGUUGAUAAGGUCAUUGAUAACAAUAG